UGAAUACGAGAUGCUACGGCGUCGAAGCAGUCUAUGUCAUACUUCCAAGAAAAGCUUGCACUGUCAUAAACAAAUAAUGCCUGUACCAUAACCGACACAGGUGGGUAGGUAGAGUAUACUAAGGGGCGCGAGAUAACUCUCUCUAAGGAACUCGGCAAAAUGACUCCGUAACUUCGGGAGAAGGAGUGCCUUAUUUAUAAGGUUGCAAUAACAAGAUCCAAGCAACUGUUUACCAAAAACACAGGUCUCCGCUAAGUCGUAAGACGAUGUAUGGGGGCUGACGCCUGCCCAGUGCCAGAUGUUAAAGAAGUUGGUUAGCAUCCGCGAAGCUGAUAACUGAAGCCCUGGUGAACGGCGGCCGUAACAAUAACGGUCCUAAGGUAGCGAAAUUCCUUGUCGGGUAAGUUCCGACCCGCACGAAAGUCGUAAUGAUUUGGAUACUGUCUCGGAGAGGGGCUCGGUGAAAUAGACUUGACUGUGAAGAUGCGGACUACCUGCACCAGGACAGAAAGACCCUAUGAAGCUUUACUGUAACCUGAAAUUGAAAUUGGACUUUACUUGCGCAGUAUAGGUGGGAGGCGUUGAGAAUAUUCUUGCGGGAUUAUUGGAGCCAUCAGUGAGAUACCACUCUUGUAAUGUUAGAUUUCUAACUUUGUAUCAUUAUCUGGUCAAAGAACAGUUUCAGGCGGGCAGUUUGACUGGGGCGGUCGCCUCCUAAACGGUACGGAGGCGCACAAAGGUUUCCUCUGAACGGGUAGAAAUCGUAUCUAGAGUGUAAAGGCAUAAGGAAGCUUGACUGUGAGACCUACAAGUCGAGCAGGGACGAAAGUCGGUCUUAGUGAUCUGACGGUGCUGAGUGGAAAGGCCGUCACUCAACGGAUAAAAGUUACUCUAAGGAUAACAGGCUGAUCUCCCCCAAGAGUUCACAUCGACGGGGAGGUUUGGCACCUCGAUGUCGGCUCAUCGCAUCCUGGGGCGGUAGUACGUCCCAAGGGUUGGGCUGUUCGCCCAUGAAAGCGGUACGCGAGCUGGGUUCAGAACGUCGUGAGACAGUUCGGUCCAUAUCCGGUGUAGGCGUUAGAAUAUUGAGAGGAGCCUUCUUUAGUACGAGAGGACCGAGAAGGACAUACCUCUGGUGUACCAGUUAUCGUGCCAACGGUAAACGCUGGGUAGCUAUGUGUGGAGUGGAUAACCGCUGAAAGCAUCUAAGUGGGAAGCCCACCUCAAGAUAAGUAUUC
This 1238-nucleotide ribosomal RNA is filed under the name metagenome. RNAcentral describes it as "bacterial LSU rRNA". It matches the Rfam family "Bacterial large subunit ribosomal RNA", at positions 1564 to 2813 of the family's 2925-position model. The record is from RNAcentral.